GAUGGACGCUGGCGGCGUGCCUAAUACGUGCAAGUCGAGCGAACGGACGAGAAGCUUGCUUCUCUGAUGUUAGCGGCGGACGGGUGAGUAACACGUGGAUAACCUACCUAUAAGACUGGGAUAACUUCGGGAAACCGGAGCUAAUACCGGAUAAUAUUUUGAACCGCAUGGUUCAAAAGUGAAAGACGGUCUUGCUGUCACUUAUAGAUGGAUCCGCGCUGCAUUAGCUAGUUGGUAAGGUAACGGCUUACCAAGGCAACGAUGCAUAGCCGACCUGAGAGGGUGAUCGGCCACACUGGAACUGAGACACGGUCCAGACUCCUACGGGAGGCAGCAGUAGGGAAUCUUCCGCAAUGGGCGAAAGCCUGACGGAGCAACGCCGCGUGAGUGAUGAAGGUCUUCGGAUCGUAAAACUCUGUUAUUAGGGAAGAACAUAUGUGUAAGUAACUGUGCACAUCUUGACGGUACCUAAUCAGAAAGCCACGGCUAACUACGUG
Molecule: ribosomal RNA, 497 nt
Filed under: uncultured bacterium
Lineage: Bacteria
Description: partial 16S ribosomal RNA
Rfam family: Bacterial small subunit ribosomal RNA
Source: RNAcentral